GACAAGAUUCCGGGCCCUACGGGGCGCAGCAGGCGCGAAACCUUUACACUGCACGCCAGUGCGAUAAGGGGAUCCCGAGUGCACAGGCAUAGAGCCUGUGCUUUUCUGAACCGUAGGGAGGUUCAGGAACAAGAGCUGGGCAAGACCGGUGCCAGCCGCCGCGGUAAUACCGGCAGCUCGAGUGAUGGCCGAUCUUAUUGGGCCUAAAGCGUCCGUAGCUGGCCUUGCAAGUCCGUCGGGAAAUCCACCCGCUCAACGGGUGGGCGUCCGGCGGAAACUGUGAGGCUUGGGACCGGGAGGCUUGAAGGGUACGUCCGGGGUAGGAGUGAAAUCCCGUAAUCCUGGACGGACCGCCGAUGGGGAAACCACUUCAAGAGAACGGAUCCGACAGUGAGGGACGAAAGCUAGGGUCUCGAACCGGAUUAGAUACCCGGGUAGUCCUAGCUGUAAACGAUGCCUGUUAGGUGUGACUCCCACUACGAGUGGGUGUUGUGCCGUAGGGAAGCCGCUAAACAGGCCGCCUGGGAAGUACGUCUGCAAGGAUGAAACUUAAAGGAAUUGGCGGGGGAGCACUACAACCGGAGGAGCCUGCGGUUUAAUUGGACUCAACGCCGGACAUCUCACCAGCAUCGACUGUGGUAAUGACGGUCAGGUUGAUGACCUUACCCGAGCCACAGAGAGGAGGUGCAUGGCCGCCGUCAGCUCGUACCGUGAGGCGUCCUGUUAAGUCAGGCAACGAGCGAGACCCGCAUCCUUACUUGCCAGCAGCACCGUGAGGUGGCUGGGGGCAGUAGGGAGACCGCCGUGGCUAACACGGAGGAAGGAGCGGGCAACGGUAGGUCAGUAUGCCCCGAAUAUGCUGGGCAACACGCGGGCUACAAUGGCCGAGACAAUGGGUUCCAACGCCGAGAGGCGACGGUAAUCUCAGAAACUCGGUCGUAGUUCGGAUUGUGGACUGAAACUCGUCCACAUGAAGCUGGAUUCGGUAGUAAUCGC
RNAcentral lists this ribosomal RNA (996 nucleotides) under uncultured archaeon. RNAcentral describes it as "bacterial SSU rRNA". It matches the Rfam family "Archaeal small subunit ribosomal RNA", at positions 307 to 1301 of the family's 1478-position model. The record is from RNAcentral.